UACCAACAUCUGAUGCCACCACUUCUUUUUCCCCAGGACCCCAACUGUGAUGAUUGACGGGGAGCUUUUCCACAGAGACAAGUGAUCCAGUGACUUACCUGAAAAGCAAGAGAAAUAAAGGACAAUACUUAGGUCUGACACAUAAAAUCUUGCAGGUGGGAGAAAAUGAGGUGCACAUGCACGCACGCACGCACAGCACAACACAGCACAGCAGCUAACAAAAUUGGGACUUAAUUGGCAACAGAAGAAAGGUGGACAUGGCCUCCCAGUCCCAGCACUCCAGCAGUAGUCUGCUGCUUUCUUUGCCCCUGCAUGAAACACUCGUGAUGUACAAGUAGCUGCAGGAAAGAAAAUAAAAGGAGAGGAAAAAAGGAUUUAAAAGAGAGAAAAUUUCUGAUUUCUAGUAGAAAAUGGUGUACUGGCUGGGUCGCAGUCAAUCAACAUGGGAGCAAGAACAUCAGUCCUUGUCCUAAUAAUGUAAACCCUGAUGGACUGGUUUUACUUUCACUUGCUGACUGAUUCUCAUCAAACAAGUACACUGGAAAUGGGAAACGAGAUAAAAGGAAAAAAAAAAAGGCGAAGAAGGAAGAAGAUGGAACAGUUUUUUGUACAAGGCCGCGACAAUUAAAAUAUCGGUGGAGACGGACGGCAACCCCACCAGUUUUGGCACCGGACAUAGAUUCUUAGGAGAUGACGAGACAGACCCCCCACACGCACAGCCAGGAAGCAACCAAGGCAAGGGGUUAAACCUCCCUUCUCACAACCACCACCACCACCACCACCACCUUUAAAAGAAGGUGCUAAAGGGGGUGUCCUGCAAAGAAAAGGAGAGGAGUGCCCCCUAACCUUUCCCUGCUUUCCACUGAAAUCUCCUAUCCGCAACCAUACAGUUGCUCAAUUCUGGUCUCAGCCAAAGCCCCAAUCAUUCAUCGUUAUAUAGGUCACUAUACCCUCCCUUGCAUUUCCCACCACCACCCCUUGAAGCCAUGAAUCGCUGAAGAAGUCGUCUGCGCUACUGCUACCACCGGGGAAGGAUUAGCUGCGCAGAAUUGUGCGAGCGAAGCCUGCCAGCCGUGCGAAUUUCAAGCUCCGAGGUCCUGCAUUGCACUGAAAUGGGGAGGCAUUCUUGCUGCUACAAGCAGAAAUUGAGGAAGGGGCUCUGGUCCCCUGAGGAGGAUGAGAAGCUCAUGAAUCACAUAACCAAGCAUGGCCAUGGCUGCUGGAGUUCUGUUCCUAAACUUGCAGGUGAGCUCAAACAAGUCUUCUGCAUUUCCUCGUUUAUACCAGCUUCCGAUUCUUCUCUUAUCUCUUCUCCAACAAUUCUACUCCCUGAAUUGGUCCAAAAUUCUAAAUUUCUUCCUGGUGAAUUGUUGCAGGGCUCCAAAGAUGCGGCAAGAGCUGCAGGCUGAGGUGGAUAAACUAUCUGAGGCCUGACCUCAAGAGAGGUGCAUUCUCUCAGGAGGAAGAAGACCUCAUCAUUGAGCUCCAUGCUGUCCUUGGGAACAGGUAAACUUCAAUCUCAAUUGGCACUACCAAAAUUCAGGACUAGUAACUGCAAGGCAACACUUUGAUACAUCAACUAACACAGCCCUUCUAUUUUUCCAUGAGAAGGUGGUCUCAGAUUGCAGCUCAGCUGCCUGGGAGGACUGACAACGAGAUCAAGAAUCUCUGGAAUUCUUGCAUCAAGAAGAAGCUCCGGCAGAAAGGCAUUGAUCCCAACACCCACAAGCCCCUCACCGAGGCUGAUCGCAGGGGAGCAGCACCCACAGUCAGCACCGAGAGGACCUCAGGGUCCAGCGACGUCAACCCGUCAAGUGCUGGUGCUCUAGGGAACUUGAGCCACCUCCUCAGCGAGACAGCACAAUCAUCAAUGCUGCUGCCGGUGUAUGAUAAGAAUCACCCUGAAACUGCAAGCUUGCCACGCCCUAAGGUGCCACCAAAGGAGUUGUUUCUUGACCAGCUUACUGCCGGUCACGAGAGCCCAUCAAGUUGCCGCUCAUCAGGUCCAACCCUGUAUUUUCCUUUCCAGCAACCAUUAGGCUACAGUAAUGAAUGUGGCACUGGGGAUGGUGCGAGUAUGAAUUCACUCUGGUUCAACCAGAAUGAUUUCAACUGCAGCACAAUCUCCACCGUGAUGCCACCAGUUUCACCAUCAGCCCUCUCAACAUCAAUGGGGCUGAAUCUUCCCCCAGAAAAUCCUCGUCACGGAGGCACUGGCAUUGGCAACACCCCGUUCUACUGGGAUGGUUCCAAUCCUAGCAGCAGCGGCAGUACUGGGAGCAGCGGAAGCAACAGUAUGGGAUUCGAGCCACAGAGCACAACCUCAAUUUUGGAGAACAGUGUAUUCCCAUGGACAGAUAUCGGACAAGAGAAAGAUACCAGAGUUCACUUAGUGGAGGAACUCAAGUGGCCUGAUUUGCUCCAUGGAACCUUUGCUGAGGCGACGACAGCCAUGCAGAACCAGAGCCAAUCAUUAUACGAUGAUGUGAUCAAGGCAGAGAGCCAAUUCAACAUGGAAGGGAUAUGUGCCUCUUGGUUCCAGAAUCAGCAACCACAACAACAGCUGCAAGCAGCAUCAGACAUGUAUGAUAAAGACUUGCAAAGAUUGCCCUUGUCUUUUGAACAUAUCUAGGUGCAAUGCUACGCCAUGCAUGGAACAGAGCAGAGAUCAGAAGAAGCAGAAACUUGUAACUCUCGCAUAUUGAUUGGCAGGCAAAACACUGAAGUGUUUGAUGUUUUGACACAGAAUCGACCUCAACACUUUCUCCUCACUUAAAGAUCCUACAGUGUCAUGGAAAAGACAGCUCUGGCCUUACGAGUAGCAGAAGAAGGGAUAGAAAAGUACGUUCUAGAGUCUCCCUCUUUUCUCUUGAAAUUUGCUGUUUUUUGUACACGACAACUCAACUUUUGGAUACUUGAGUUUUGGUUCACUCUGUUUAUCAAAUAAAUAUAGACACGCAUGGGCAAAACAUGUGUCGGUAGCUCUCACAAACCAUACAAGUAGUCCCAAGCUUUUCAACUGCUACCAUGCACGUACAUGCAAAUUAAUUAUUGCAUGUUGUAUUUUUAUUUCUUUUGAGAAGUUGCCGACAAAGUGCAGUUGUAUAUUUGUAAAGGAAAAAAAUUGGAACAUUGACCCAAGAGUUAUUUUCACCUCCUCUCCCUUUCCAGUUUCUGUCUUAACUUUUUAUGUGAAGAAUCCAAAGCUACUUGAUCACUUUCUACUUGAAUACAAGCAGGGAAAAGGAUUGGUCGAUUUGAUAGGUCCAAAGAGGUAAUCAUCCUCCAGAGAAAGUAAACACAUUUGACAAAAGAAGAGGAGGAAAUUAUUAAUGAAUAUCCACCUACCAUAUGGAUGGGUAAUAUAUGAAACAUCAAUGUGUGGCGGGCACUCAAGAUAUGCUUAUCUAUGUGUGUACAUCACUUGUUUGUGUACCAAAACUAUGGUACAUUACUUAUUUGUAAACCAUGGAAAAUGUAUGUCUGCCUUACAAAGGCCAGGAGUUUAAUUGUUCAGCACCUAAGAGAUUUUGCAUGCUUCUUUGGUUUAUCCCAUAAUGAAUAUGGACUUGCAGCACUUCUUAAUCUAGGUUUGAGUUAAGAUUCAUUAUGAACUUGCGGCACUUCUUAAUCUAGGUUUGAGUUAAGAAGGCUAAUAGACAUAAGAGCCUAGUCUCAACAUCUUCGCCCUGAGGGACAAUGUGUAAAGGAGGAGCUACUUGCUGGCUGUGUGAGGGGAUGCCUCAUCCCUCGGGCGUUUGUAAAAGGGAAUUAUUGAUUGCUCUAGGAAUAAUUGGAAUUCAGUUCAUAAGGAUUUGGGUCAAAAUGCCCCUAUCCAUACAGUCCCUCAAGUUAGUUUUUGAAUAUAGAAGGCUCAGUAGCCCUCAGUGCUCAAUAAAGCUAAGAACUCCUAAAAUGAUAAACAAACGAGGAAAAGGAAAGGCUAUGCCACUAUUUUCUUUGGCCUGUCAGGUGGGCUCCUUUUUCUCUGACUACUCAAAAAUUAAAUCAGCAUCAUAUUGGUUUGUUUCUAUGCAUGGCAGUAGUCCUAAUUAAAAUAAAGUUGUCUAAUCAGGUUCCUAGGCCCCAAAUUAGCUUUAGAAGUUACAUAUUUUAUUUUUAUGUGACAUAAUUAAUGGAGUGUGGCCAUGUGCACGAAAAUGCUGGCAUAAAGUGGUCAGUCCUUGCAUUUUCACAAAUGAAAUGAGACCAAUAAUGCUGAUAAGGACCAUUAGCACUAAAAAGCAAUUAGAGAGGUCCAAUAAUUCUGUUUCGUAGCCGUGAAUUACCUGUCUACAUCUUGGUUCUGGUAAAUAACUAAACACAAAUUACACUUGCUAAGAGCAUGGUUACAUACCCUGAUGUGUCAACUUAUGUGGCAUAUGUGCUUUAAUUUCCUUUGUUUAUAUCCUGUGUCUGCUUGGACAUAUGAGCUGUAUAAUUGGAUGUAUCUGCAUGUUUUGAAUGAAUAUAUCAGUUGAAAGAAAGCCAAAAAAGUACAAAGGGAAGUAGAGGUAGCGGGACACGAAAAUAGUAACUGUUGUAAUGGAGUAGUGCUAACACUCUUCCAGAUGAAACAGACAUUUGGUUUAAUAUUUUGAUAUUUAGUUUCAACUUUGCAAAAACUGGAUACCUAACACCAUCAUUAGAAAAUUAACGAUAACAGAUGAGGAAUAAUAUCACAAAUUACUCGAGUAACAGUAAGUUAGCUACAGUUAGGCCCAAGAUAUAAUAACUUUUGUGCUAUUAGGACGUCCAAGUGGAGCAAGGAUUAUCCAACAAAUAAUUCAUCUUUUCCAGUUGACAGGACCCUAAAUGAAAUUCAUUAUGAUCAAACUUGAACUUUAAAUACAUGAAGCUCAAGUCGGCGAAAUAUCCUUACUUUUUGUACAAACAAAAAAAUUUGGGAAAACCAAACAAUUUAACCACCACUUGUUUCUUUUUAACAGGAACUAGGGUAUAGUGAUACAACAUUACCAGGAAAGAACCAAAAGGGUAAGACAAGAAUCUAUUCCUGCAUGCUAACUGUGUUUCUGAAUGUUUCUUUCUUCUCUCUUUGACAUCAGCGUGACGAUAAGAAUAUGAAAGCAAAUUGGAGCAGCUUUAAGUUUGCAUCACUAUAACCAAGAAAGAAGCUCCCGUCUAGUGUUGAGGGUAUAGAUGGAACAAUUUUGCACUUGAAUAUAUAGUACACUACAUUUGUGAAUAACACCAUUCAAAAAAUGCCUUAUAUUUUUCUUAGUGGGGGGAAUACAUGCUUGAGACUUGGUUGCACGAGUUUCAUCAGUUGUUGACCUGAGAAUUCACACAUAUUCAGAUGGCACGUCUUUGUAUUGUGUGAUUAGCCAAAUCCCAUACUCCAUAACCUCAAUGGAUAAGUUUGGCUUAUAUUGAAGAUCAGAUAGAGGGAAAAGAAUAACAUUUGCAGAACUAAAUCCCAACAGUAUACACCCAAUCACUAACAGUAGAGAAGUAAAUCGUAAACCAAAAGGAAUGACCCGAGACUGUAAGACAGGAGGAAACAGCAAAGCAAACAGCUAGUUGGUUGGGAUGAUCCACAAGCGCAUGUGGAUAGAAUCAUCAACCAAGAGAGAACAAAUUGACAACUAAACAUAGCUGAACUCAGAAGCAAGCGAGGAUAUAGGUAGCUUGUGGACCUAGGUGUAUGCAAUAUACAAUUCAGUCUACGCAGAUCAGGGUUCUUUUUCUCCUUUCUGAGUUUCAUUUCCCCUUUGAUCCUCAUCUUUCUAGUUGAAUUGGGACAACAGGAUGUAAGGAGUGUGGCUCAAGAUUUUUAUCAUUUAAAGGCUGCAUUCAAGCAUGAAGCUGAAGCCCAACAUGUCGAGGCCAUGUUCUUCUUUGUGGAAAGUGAUUCAGGAAUUUUUCUUGAGGGCCUGCUUUGCGAAUUGUGAGAUCAUGGCCCAGGGCACGGGAGUCAUCUUCCUUAAUGACAGAAUCAAUAAUCCAACUCGAGAAGAUUUGGAGGAUCUCCAACAGUGAAUGGAAAACCUGCACUUUCAUAACGUGACUUACGUCUACAAAAAACAAACUGGUAAUUUCUGAAAAGAGAAGUGCAGUGGUUGAUUAUCUUGACAUUCAUUUAUGUCUGUUUCCAGAAUGAGGUUGACGUAGCAAUAUUUGAGAAGAAUACCAACACUAAAAGAUUUGAAGCUUCACAUUUUCAGGAGUAGAAAAACUGGGAAAAUAUUCUUUAAGAGAAUAAAACUGAGACUUAAUUAAACAGGCAUCACCCAACCAGCCACCAGUGAAGCAUGCAUGUGAAGUAUCAAGCAUUAUCAAUCUUUCACAAUUAGUUGGAUUCAAGCUUCAAGUAAAACUGAGACACAAGUUUACCUUAGUGGGACAUGCAUGUGAAGUACCAAGCAUCAUUAAUCUUUCACAAUCAGUUGGAUUCAAACUCCAAGUUAAAAAGGAAGAUAUGCAAGAAAUCACUUGACUCACUUCAUCUCUUUUCCUAUUUAGCUACAGCAAACUGACCAAAGGCAACAGACAAUCCAAAGGAAAAUGGGAGAAAAAGGACCACAGACUGCUCGAUUGCUACUUUGCAAGACGAUCCGUUGUGACAUCCAUCUCCCACACAGCUACACUCCUAAAACUGUAUCAUGUACACAUAAACCAAGCUCCACUUGAUAUAUCUAUCACACACUUCACCAUCUCAAUGUCAUUGGCGGGAUUGUUUCGAAUCGCCGGAACCCUCGAGCGUUCGGUUCAUUCCAGAUUUCGGGUUUUAUCACACAACCAGAACAAUGCACAACUAUUUUGCAAAACCCCAGGGCAACUCUCUUCCCGAAACAAAAGCAAAGCAUCUAAUGAUGAAUACCAUAUGAAGUAGCAAAAUGCGUCAAUCGCAGCAACCCCACACUUACCAUGAUCUGCGAGAAGGAGAGAGAGGGCACGCAUGCAGCGCCAUGGCGAAUCGAUGAGGUGGGCGGCGGGAGACCACAGAGGGGAGGGUUGAGGGGGCAGCGAGGCCGGCGAGGAGGGGCGCGGGAGGCCGGCGAUGGGACGGCAAAGGGGUGGGCGGCGCGAGGAGGGGAGGGGAGAAGGAGACGGCGGCGAGCCGGCGAGUCCCCGGCGGCGGCAGGGAUGAUGGCGGCGGCGUGUUCAGGAGUCGAGGGCUCGAGGAGGCCCAUCCAAAUCAUAGCCCAGAUUGAAAACCAGAGCCCAAACCGUUAGCCACAGGCCCACGAGUCCAGUUUCUGGGCCCUUUGUUAUUUUCUCCAUUUUCUUAAUUGGAAUAAGUUCACUUGAGAUCCCUUAACUUGUCCACGAAUCCAAUUUUCGUCCUUCAACUGAGACACUAUAUACAACGGGUACCUCAAACCCUCAGAGGUUUUGAUGGUGGUUUUGGCUAAUGUGGUGCCUACGUGACCGGUUUGACUUGGUCCCCGUCCUACGUGACGGCGAUGUGGCACUAGAAGCAAAAUAUAAAAAAUAAAGUAAAAAAAUAUGAGGCCCACAUGUCUGUCAUAUAAAAGGGAAAAACAGUGGGACCCACCAUCCUCUCUAUCCACGGACGACGAGAGAGGAGCGACCGGCGCGUUCUUCUCUCUCCCUCCCGGCCAUCCUUCCUCGCUGGCGAGCGCGCACGGAUAAGGAAAAAGCCCAGAAAGGCUGACAGCAUGGACAGAUAUUGACGUAUGCCCGCCACAUAAUUAAAGGUAUCAAGAAUUCUUCAGAGAAGGCAGUGAGGCCGUGUUGCCAGAAAGAAAAUUAAAGUAUUAAACGUAGACUAAUAACAAAACUAUUCCGCAUGUAAAUUGUGAUACGAAUUUAUUAAGUCUAAUUAAUCCGUUAUUAGCAAAUGUUUACUGUAGCACCAUAAUGUCAAAUUAUGGCGCAAUUAGGCUCAAAAGAUUCGUCUCGUAAUUUACAUGCAAAUUAUGUAAUUAGUUUUUUUCGUCUACAUUUAAUGCUCUACUCAUGUGUCUAAAUAUUUGAUGUGACUUUUUUUUGCCAAAAUUUUUUUGGAAUCUAAACCCAGCCUGAGUGAAGAUGAGCUGACAACAUCAAGCAUGAGAAAUCAUUAAAUCAAGAAGACUGUGACCACACGAGGUUAAGGAUAAUUAAUUAUUUUUCAGAAAAACAAAGGAUAAAUUGCAUUCAACUACUGGUGGUGCUAGGCUGCUAGCAUGAAAAGUUAAAACAAAGCGAACACUUUGAAUUAUUAGAUCCAAAAACGGCAUCGCACCAACAGGCUGUGCUAACGAUGUUCGUUCCUGAAACGAGAACAGGGACAUUUCGCAAUUUGUUGAUCUCCGUUCAGGCAACAGCAGAAUGAAUUCGAAAUGAUGGUUUAUAGUGACACCCUUGUGGAUGGAUUGAUGGUUAGUAACCAAAUUCGAGAAGACGAGAAGCAUAUGCAAUUGCCAUGGCAAUAAUAACAACAUCCACAAGCAUCUGGUGACUUAAUGAUGUGCAUAGCAACAGCAGCAGUAGUGAUUAGUGAGUGAAUCCAUCCAUCGGCCACCACAGAAAUAAAUAAAGAAAAAAAAACCAUCUCCUUCGGCAGCGGCAGCGGAGCCAAACAGAUGUAGCGCCGCCGGAUUCCCACGCUCGGCCGGGGGCGUGAGAGCGAGAGAGAGCAAUCGAUUUCAAAUCAACGCCGCAGAGAGGGGAGAGAGGAAGGAGAAAACCCCGUACCUCGGCCGGUGGGUGGGAGGAAGGCGGCGAGUCGCGCGUGCUGCGGCAUUCGGUGGCGGCGGCGGCGCGCGCGCUCCCCUCUCCUCCGGCGCCGCACCGGCGGUUGUGUUGCGUCCCCUCGAAGCGGAGGAAGCAGGAAGGAGAAGGGAGGC
Molecule: long non-coding RNA, 8816 nt
Filed under: Oryza sativa (Asian cultivated rice)
Lineage: Eukaryota; Viridiplantae; Streptophyta; Magnoliopsida; Poales; Poaceae
Description: long non-coding RNA (OSAT_LNC000919)
Source: RNAcentral